GACGAACGCUGGCGGCGUGCUUAACACAUGCAAGUCGAACGGAAAGGCCCUGCUUUUGUGGGGUGCUCGAGUGGCGAACGGGUGAGUAACACGUGAGUAACCUGCCCUUGACUUUGGGAUAACUUCAGGAAACUGGGGCUAAUACCGGAUAGGAGCUCCUGCUGCAUGGUGGGGGUUGGAAAGUUUCGGCGGUUGGGGAUGGACUCGCGGCUUAUCAGCUUGUUGGUGGGGUAGUGGCUUACCAAGGCUUUGACGGGUAGCCGGCCUGAGAGGGUGACCGGCCACAUUAGGCCUGAGAUACGGCCCAGACUCCUACGGGAGGCAGCAGUGGGGAAUAUUGCACAAUGGGCGGAAGCCUGAUGCAGCAACGCCGCGUGCGGGAUGACGGCCUUCGGGUUGUAAACCGCUUUCGCCUGUGACGAAGCGUGAGUGACGGUAAUGGGUAAAGAAGCACCGGCUAACUACGUG
This 468-nucleotide ribosomal RNA is filed under the name uncultured bacterium. RNAcentral describes it as "partial 16S ribosomal RNA". It matches the Rfam family "Bacterial small subunit ribosomal RNA", at positions 28 to 507 of the family's 1533-position model. The record is from RNAcentral.